Molecule: long non-coding RNA, 1580 nt
Filed under: Trifolium pratense (red clover)
Lineage: Eukaryota; Viridiplantae; Streptophyta; Magnoliopsida; Fabales; Fabaceae
Description: long non-coding RNA (TPRA_LNC001251)
Source: RNAcentral
GUAAGGGUAUUCCUAUCCAACCCAUUUGAGAUGUGGUUAAGUAACAACAGUACCUGCGGUAAUUUAGACCCUUCCAAUUUAGUAUUCAAUUAUAUAAAAAAAUUAUGAACACUUGUCUAUACACACAACUAAUACAAAGCUUAGAUUAUUAUGAUGAUCAUGAUGCAAUAUUUUUUCAUCUUAACCCUCUGACGUUUUAGGGUAAACGGGCUAAUUAAAAGUUUAGCUGGAAGGUAAUUAGUAAAGUCAGACUAUAAAUUGUUUCGACUAGAGAUGUGUUAAUUAUCUCUAUAUUAUUCUUUGUAGUUUGUUGGGCCACUAUUAGUUUGUUGUGCCUUGAUUGAACUCCCUUUGAAGGAGUUCAAGCUUCUUGGCUUGACGGAGGAAGAAACAAUUGAUGAAUACUUUGCAAGAAUUCCCUCCAUUAUCAAUAAGUCAAAAAUGCAUGGUAACAAUGUAGAACAAGUAAUAGUUGUUGAUAAGAUCCUUAGACUGUGGAGGAACAUGAGCUUCAAAGUAGUCUAUUAUUACAUUGAAAAAUCCAAGAAUGUGAGUACUUUUACUAUUGAAGAGCUUCAAAGUAGUCUAUUAGGUAGUACAUGAGCAAAGGACUCAAGGGAAUAAAGAAGAGGAACAUGUUGUGAAGGUCACAAAUGAAGGGAAAACAGGAGGAAGAGAAAAGGGUUGUGGAGGAAGAGGAUGGAGGAAAGGAAGACAAUCUUUCAACAAAGAAUUCAAUGAAUGCUAUAAGUGUCCCUAGUUAGGGCAUUUUCAGUACGAGUCUUCAACUUUUGAUGAAAAAAUAAAUUAUGCUGAUAUUUUCAUCACAAAUAUAAAGACCCCACAUUCAACUAAAGUUCAGAUAUCCUCAAUCUUUAACUACACUACAACAUGUAUAUACACAUAAAUACAUGUUUAUAUGUAAAUUUAUGCUAUACUCUCUCAUUCAAGUAUUUUCUCAAACAUUUGGUGCACAUAAACCAAACUAAAAAUACAAACCCUAUACCCUAAAUUUAAUUAAUAUCUCAAAUUCAUGGAAUUCAAAACCUAAUCAAAACCCUUGUUCAAAAUAUAAUCACGAAAAUAAUCCAAAGCAAGAAAAUGAGAGAUGAGAGAGAUUAUUCCAUAAUUUCAAAUUGCUAUGUUUCCAUAUGCUCCACACAAUCACAUCCCAUAAUGUCGCUUGCUGCAUAUCUAGUUUAUGUAAAAGCAAGAAAACUGCAUCUGCUGCCGUCGUAGUUGUGAGACUUACUUCUUCAAUAUUGCGCCACAAACUUGAACAGAUGUAGGACAUGAAAAAAGAAUAUACAGCCUGUCUUCAUAAUUAUCAUUACAAGACACACAAUUUGAAGGACAAUGAAUACCUUUCUCGCAAAGUCUAGCUCGCGUCGGACAACAACCGCGACAAAUGCGCCAAAUAAGGUUCUUAACCUUUGGAGGGACUUUGAGUCUCCAAAUUCCGGACCAAAACCCAAAACUUUAAUAUGAGACGUGUCGAUUAAUUCUUCCACACACAGAUGAUAAGCACUCUUUACCGAGUGACCAUUUUUCUCCGCUUUCCAAAUCAAUCAAUCCUCAAC